CAUGAUCAGAAAACCAGGCGAAUCAAAGGAUUUGCUAAUAUUUCUUAUAUGAUGUAAUGUUAGCAAUUUGGAAAUUCUGGGUUUGGUCUCCAUUACCAUGUCCAAGAUUUAAUCAACUAAAGGAGUGGCUAAACUUAUUGUGAGCUGGUAGCAUUUCCUAUCCAUAGACACCUGAUAUUAACGCAAGAGACUAGAGACCACCUUUUUUGCACCUACCCAAUCGUUCACCUGAGUGAAAUGAAAGUGUUGAACAUGCCAGUGAUAUGGCAUUUUGCAAGGCCAGACAUUACCAUGAAUCCUGAAAACCUGAAAUCUCUCCAGGAAAAUGGGCUGAAGCCUUCGAGAAGUUUGGAGAAAGCCCUCUAUCUGAGUGUCCUUCCAAGAUGUACUCCAUCUAUUUGGGAGUUUCCAGCGCUGUCUAGGAAAUCUCAGAGUACCAUAUGUGGAAGUAAAGCCUCUUCUACAUUUCUCAGCAUGGUCCUCCUGGUGCUGGAUCCCUUGAAUGGAGUCUGGAGGGCUCCUGAAAGCAUUGUUGUUUCCCAGUAA
Molecule: long non-coding RNA, 546 nt
Filed under: Struthio camelus australis
Lineage: Eukaryota; Metazoa; Chordata; Aves; Struthioniformes; Struthionidae
Description: lncRNA (ENSSCUG00000010284.1)
Source: RNAcentral